GCGUGGCCGAAUGGUAACGCUGUCCGCUUUGUAAGCGGAUGAUUCUGGGUUCGAUUCCCAUCUGCUGCA
Molecule: non-coding RNA, 69 nt
Organism: Culex pipiens (northern house mosquito)
Lineage: Eukaryota; Metazoa; Arthropoda; Insecta; Diptera; Culicidae
Source: Rfam